Molecule: ribosomal RNA, 119 nt
Filed under: Pteropus alecto (black flying fox)
Lineage: Eukaryota; Metazoa; Chordata; Mammalia; Chiroptera; Pteropodidae
Source: RNAcentral
GUCUAUGGCAUUGCAGCUCUGAACAAGCCCAAUUCCGUCUGAUCUUGGAAGCUAAGCAGGGUUGGGCCUGGUUAGUAUUUGGAUGGGAGACCACCUAGGAAGACCAGGUGCUGUACGCA